This 1449-nucleotide ribosomal RNA is filed under the name bacterium. RNAcentral describes it as "bacterial SSU rRNA". It matches the Rfam family "Bacterial small subunit ribosomal RNA". The record is from RNAcentral.
GGAUCAUGGCUGCCGGACUACACAUGCAAGUCGAGCGGUAGCACAGAGAGCUUGCUCUCGGGUGACGAGCGGCGGACGGGUGAGUAAUGUCUGGGAAACUGCCUGAUGGAGGGGGAUAACUACUGGAAACGGUAGCUAAUACCGCAUAAUGUCGCAAGACCAAAGAGGGGGACCUUCGGGCCUCUUGCCAUCAGAUGUGCCCAGAUGGGAUUAGCUAGUAGGUGGGGUAACGGCUCACCUAGGCGACGAUCCCUAGCUGGUCUGAGAGGAUGACCAGCCACACUGGAACUGAGACACGGUCCAGACUCCUACGGGAGGCAGCAGUGGGGAAUAUUGCACAAUGGGCGCAAGCCUGAUGCAGCCAUGCCGCGUGUAUGAAGAAGGCCUUCGGGUUGUAAAGUACUUUCAGCGGGGAGGAAGGUGUUGAGGUUAAUAACCUCAGCAAUUGACGUUACCCGCAGAAGAAGCACCGGCUAACUCCGUGCCAGCAGCCGCGGUAAUACGGAGGGUGCAAGCGUUAAUCGGAAUUACUGGGCGUAAAGCGCACGCAGGCGGUCUGUCAAGUCGGAUGUGAAAUCCCCGGGCUCAACCUGGGAACUGCAUUCGAAACUGGCAGGCUAGAGUCUUGUAGAGGGGGGUAGAAUUCCAGGUGUAGCGGUGAAAUGCGUAGAGAUCUGGAGGAAUACCGGUGGCGAAGGCGGCCCCCUGGACAAAGACUGACGCUCAGGUGCGAAAGCGUGGGGAGCAAACAGGAUUAGAUACCCUGGUAGUCCACGCCGUAAACGAUGUCGACUUGGAGGUUGUGCCCUUGAGGAGUGGCUUCCGGAGCUAACGCGUUAAGUCGACCGCCUGGGGAGUACGGCCGCAAGGUUAAAACUCAAAUGAAUUGACGGGGGGCCCGCACAAGCGGUGGAGCAUGUGGUUUAAUUCGAUGCAACGGCGAAGAACCUUACCUACUCUUGACAUCCAGAGAACUUUCCAGAGAUGGAUUGGUGCCUUCGGGAACUCUGAGACAGGUGCUGCAUGGCUGUCGUCAGCUCGUGUUGUGAAAUGUUGGGUUAAGUCCCGCAACGAGCGCAACCCUUAUCCUUUGUUGCCAGCGGUCCGGCCGGGAACUCAAAGGAGACUGCCAGUGAUAAACUGGAGGAAGGUGGGGAUGACGUCAAGUCAUCAUGGCCCUUACGAGUAGGGCUACACACGUGCUACAAUGGCGCAUACAAAGAGAAGCGACCUCGCGAGAGCAAGCGGACCUCAUAAAGUGCGUCGUAGUCCGGAUUGGAGUCUGCAACUCGACUCCAUGAAGUCGGAAUCGCUAGUAAUCGUAGAUCAGAAUGCUACGGUGAAUACGUUCCCGGGCCUUGUACACACCGCCCGUCACACCAUGGGAGUGGGUUGCAAAAGAAGUAGGUAGCUUAACCUUCGGGAGGGCGCUACCACUUUGAUACGUGG